Molecule: ribosomal RNA, 2928 nt
Filed under: Bacillus velezensis
Lineage: Bacteria; Bacillati; Bacillota; Bacilli; Caryophanales; Bacillaceae
Description: 23S ribosomal RNA
Rfam family: Bacterial large subunit ribosomal RNA
Source: RNAcentral
UUAAGUUAGAAAGGGCGCACGGUGGAUGCCUUGGCACUAGGAGCCGAUGAAGGACGGGACGAACACCGAUAUGCUUCGGGGAGCUGUAAGCAAGCUUUGAUCCGGAGAUUUCCGAAUGGGGAAACCCACCACUCGUAAUGGAGUGGUAUCCAUAUCUGAAUACAUAGGAUAUGAGAAGGCAGACCCGGGGAACUGAAACAUCUAAGUACCCGGAGGAAGAGAAAGCAAAUGCGAUUCCCUGAGUAGCGGCGAGCGAAACGGGAUCAGCCCAAACCAAGAGGCUUGCCUCUUGGGGUUGUAGGACACUCUGUACGGAGUUACAAAGGAACGAGGUAGAUGAAGAGGUCUGGAAAGGCCCGCCAUAGGAGGUAACAGCCCUGUAGUCAAAACUUCGUUCUCUCCUGAGUGGAUCCUGAGUACGGCGGAACACGUGAAAUUCCGUCGGAAUCCGGGAGGACCAUCUCCCAAGGCUAAAUACUCCCUAGUGACCGAUAGUGAACCAGUACCGUGAGGGAAAGGUGAAAAGCACCCCGGAAGGGGAGUGAAAGAGAUCCUGAAACCGUGUGCCUACAAGUAGUCAGAGCCCGUUAACGGGUGAUGGCGUGCCUUUUGUAGAAUGAACCGGCGAGUUACGAUCCCGUGCAAGGUUAAGCAGAAGAUGCGGAGCCGCAGCGAAAGCGAGUCUGAAUAGGGCGAAUUGAGUACGUGGUCGUAGACCCGAAACCAGGUGAUCUACCCAUGUCCAGGGUGAAGUUCAGGUAACACUGAAUGGAGGCCCGAACCCACGCACGUUGAAAAGUGCGGGGAUGAGGUGUGGGUAGGGGUGAAAUGCCAAUCGAACCUGGAGAUAGCUGGUUCUCUCCGAAAUAGCUUUAGGGCUAGCCUCAAGGUAAGAGUCUCGGAGGUAGAGCACUGAUUGGACUAGGGGCCCCUACCGGGUUACCGAAUUCAGUCAAACUCCGAAUGCCGAUGACUUAUCCUUGGGAGUCAGACUGCGAGUGAUAAGAUCCGUAGUCGAAAGGGAAACAGCCCAGACCGCCAGCUAAGGUCCCAAAGUAUACGUUAAGUGGAAAAGGAUGUGGAGUUGCUUAGACAACCAGGAUGUUGGCUUAGAAGCAGCCACCAUUUAAAGAGUGCGUAAUAGCUCACUGGUCGAGUGACUCUGCGCCGAAAAUGUACCGGGGCUAAACGUAUCACCGAAGCUGCGGACUGUUCUUCGAACAGUGAUAGGAGAGCGUUCUAAGGGCUGUGAAGCAAGACCGGAAGGACUUGUGGAGCGCUUAGAAGUGAGAAUGCCGGUAUGAGUAGCGAAAGAGGGGUGAGAAUCCCCUCCACCGAAUGCCUAAGGUUUCCUGAGGAAGGCUCGUCCGCUCAGGGUUAGUCGGGACCUAAGCCGAGGCCGAAAGGCGUAGGCGAUGGAUAACAGGUUGAUAUUCCUGUACCACCUCCUCACCAUUUGAGCAAUGGGGGGACGCAGGAGGAUAGGGUAAGCGCGGUAUUGGAUAUCCGCGUCCAAGCAGUUAGGCUGGGAAAUAGGCAAAUCCGUUUCCCGUGAAGGCUGAGCUGUGAUGGCGAGCGAAUUAUAGUAGCGAAGUUCCUGAUUCCACACUGCCAAGAAAAGCCUCUAGCGAGGUGAGAGGUGCCCGUACCGCAAACCGACACAGGUAGGCGAGGAGAGAAUCCUAAGGUGAUCGAGAGAACUCUCGUUAAGGAACUCGGCAAAAUGACCCCGUAACUUCGGGAGAAGGGGUGCUCUGUUAGGGUGCAAGCCCGAGAGAGCCGCAGUGAAUAGGCCCAGGCGACUGUUUAGCAAAAACACAGGUCUCUGCGAAGCCGUAAGGCGAAGUAUAGGGGCUGACGCCUGCCCGGUGCUGGAAGGUUAAGAGGAGCGCUUAGCGUAAGCGAAGGUGCGAAUUGAAGCCCCAGUAAACGGCGGCCGUAACUAUAACGGUCCUAAGGUAGCGAAAUUCCUUGUCGGGUAAGUUCCGACCCGCACGAAAGGCGCAACGAUCUGGGCACUGUCUCAACGAGAGACUCGGUGAAAUUAUAGUACCUGUGAAGAUGCAGGUUACCCGCGACAGGACGGAAAGACCCCGUGGAGCUUUACUGCAGCCUGAUAUUGAAUGUUGGUACAGCUUGUACAGGAUAGGUAGGAGCCUUGGAAACCGGAGCGCCAGCUUCGGUGGAGGCAUCGGUGGGAUACUACCCUGGCUGUAUUGACCUUCUAACCCGCCGCCCUUAUCGGGCGGGGAGACAGUGUCAGGUGGGCAGUUUGACUGGGGCGGUCGCCUCCUAAAAGGUAACGGAGGCGCCCAAAGGUUCCCUCAGAAUGGUUGGAAAUCAUUCGCAGAGUGUAAAGGCACAAGGGAGCUUGACUGCGAGACCUACAAGUCGAGCAGGGACGAAAGUCGGGCUUAGUGAUCCGGUGGUUCCGCAUGGAAGGGCCAUCGCUCAACGGAUAAAAGCUACCCCGGGGAUAACAGGCUUAUCUCCCCCAAGAGUCCACAUCGACGGGGAGGUUUGGCACCUCGAUGUCGGCUCAUCGCAUCCUGGGGCUGUAGUCGGUCCCAAGGGUUGGGCUGUUCGCCCAUUAAAGCGGUACGCGAGCUGGGUUCAGAACGUCGUGAGACAGUUCGGUCCCUAUCCGUCGCGGGCGCAGGAAAUUUGAGAGGAGCUGUCCUUAGUACGAGAGGACCGGGAUGGACGCACCGCUGGUGUACCAGUUGUUCUGCCAAGGGCAUCGCUGGGUAGCUAUGUGCGGACGGGAUAAGUGCUGAAAGCAUCUAAGCAUGAAGCCCCCCUCAAGAUGAGAUUUCCCAUUCCGCAAGGAAGUAAGAUCCCUGAAAGAUGAUCAGGUUGAUAGGUCUGAGGUGGAAGUGUGGCGACACAUGGAGCUGACAGAUACUAAUCGAUCGAGGACUUAACCAA